This 469-nucleotide long non-coding RNA is filed under the name Rattus norvegicus (Norway rat). Its description in RNAcentral is "long non-coding RNA NONRATT016451". The record is from RNAcentral. Lineage: Eukaryota; Metazoa; Chordata; Mammalia; Rodentia; Muridae.
AACGUAACCAAACCCUGGUUCAGACUGCCUGGGUAGUCCAUGAUGGUAAGUCAUAGAACUCUGCCCUCUGCACUUCAGCCCAUGACCUCAGGAUGGCCUGAUUGGCUAGCCUGCUCUCCAGCCAAUCCAGUGCAAGCUCUCAUCCGAGAUUCACUGAAGUGGUCCAUAUCCAUCUGGCAGCAUCUUCUAGUUCUGUCGGGGUGUCAAAAGGAUUUGUAUAUUUGCUUCUAGAAGUAACUAUGCAUCAUGCCUAUGUAUUAUUCAAUGUAUACCUGUAACUAUCAAAAUGAAUAUUUCAUUUUUGAUAGAUUGUUGUCCAGCUAUUAUGAAUUGUUUUUGUUUUUUGUUUUUUGUUUUUUUUUUUAAUUGGGUUCAAUUAAAUUUCUACUUUGCAGUGUGUAUGGCAUCCUUUCUACCACAGGAGGCUGAGGCUACCUUACACUGGUAGUUUUAAAUAGGUACCUGUUGC